Molecule: ribosomal RNA, 586 nt
Filed under: uncultured bacterium
Lineage: Bacteria
Description: bacterial SSU rRNA
Rfam family: Bacterial small subunit ribosomal RNA
Source: RNAcentral
CCAGACUCCUCGGGAGGCAGCAGUGGGGAAUAUUGCACAAUGGGCGGAAGCCUGAUGCAGCAACGCCGCGUGCGGGAUGACGGCCUUCGGGUUGUAAACCGCUUUCGCCUGUGACGAAGCGUGAGUGACGGUAAUGGGUAAAGAAGCACCGGCUAACUACGUGCCAGCAGCCGCGGUGAUACGUAGGGUGCGAGCGUUGUCCGGAUUUAUUGGGCGUAAAGGGCUCGUAGGUGGUUGAUCGCGUCGGAAGUGUAAUCUUGGGGCUUAACCCUGAGCGUGCUUUCGAUACGGGUUGACUUGAGGAAGGUAGGGGAGAAUGGAAUUCCUGGUGGAGCGGUGGAAUGCGCAGAUAUCAGGAGGAACACCAGUGGCGAAGGCGGUUCUCUGGGCCUUUCCUGACGCUGAGGAGCGAAAGCGUGGGGAGCGAACAGGCUUAGAUACCCUGGUAGUCCACGCUGUAAACGGUGGGUACUAGGUGUGGGGUCCAUUCCACGGGUUCCGUGCCGUAGCUAACGCUUUAAGUACCCCGCCUGGGGAGUACGGCCGCAAGGCUAAAACUCAAAGGAAUUGACGGGGCCCGCACAAG